This 680-nucleotide ribosomal RNA is filed under the name Cymatodera latefascia. RNAcentral's name for it is "eukaryotic LSU rRNA". It matches the Rfam family "Eukaryotic large subunit ribosomal RNA", at positions 651 to 1284 of the family's 3401-position model. The record is from RNAcentral. Lineage: Eukaryota; Metazoa; Arthropoda; Insecta; Coleoptera; Cleridae.
GUCUUGAAACACGGACCAAGGAGACUAGCAUGUGCGCGAUCUUGGGAAUAACUAAACCUAAAGGCGCAAUGAAAGUGAAGGUCCGCCUCGCGCGGACCGAGGGAGGAUGGGCGGACGCGACUACAAGGUUGGCCGUCCCGCACUCCCGGGGCGUCUCGUUCUCAUUGCGAGAAGAGGCGCACCAAGAGCGUACACGCUGGGACCCGAAAGAUGGUGAACUAUGCCUGGUCAGGACGAAGUCAGGGGAAACCCUGAUGGAGGUCCGUAGCGAUUCUGACGUGCAAAUCGAUCGUCGGAACUGGGUAUAGGGGCGAAAGACUAAUCGAACCAUCUAGUAGCUGGUUCCCUCCGAAGUUUCCCUCAGGAUAGCUGGCGCUCGUCGCCUACGAGUCUCAUCCGGUAAAGCGAAUGAUUAGAGGCAUUGGGGUCGAAACGGCCUCAACCUAUUCUCAAACUUUAAAUGGGUGAGAUCUCCGGCUUGCUCGAACUAUUGAAGCCGCGAGACACGGAUCAGAGUGCCAAGUGGGCCAUUUUUGGUAAGCAGAACUGGCGCUGUGGGAUGAACCAAACGUCGAGUUAAAGCGCCUAAAUCGACGCUUAUGGGAUACCAUGAAAGGCGUUGGUAACUUAAGACAGCAGGACGGUGGCCAUGGAAGUCGGAAUCCGCUAAGGAGUGUGUU